AUCCAGAGGACGAAUCCCAAAUAGGACGAAAUGCGCAUUUUGGAU
Molecule: non-coding RNA, 45 nt
Filed under: Trichobilharzia regenti
Lineage: Eukaryota; Metazoa; Platyhelminthes; Trematoda; Strigeidida; Schistosomatidae
Source: RNAcentral